Molecule: ribosomal RNA, 2906 nt
Filed under: Yersinia pestis Pestoides F
Lineage: Bacteria; Pseudomonadati; Pseudomonadota; Gammaproteobacteria; Enterobacterales; Yersiniaceae
Description: bacterial LSU rRNA
Rfam family: Bacterial large subunit ribosomal RNA
Source: RNAcentral
UUAAGCGACUAAGCGUACACGGUGGAUGCCUAGGCAGUCAGAGGCGAUGAAGGGCGUGCUAAUCUGCGAAAAGCGUCGGUAAGCUGAUAUGAAGCGUUAUAACCGACGAUACCCGAAUGGGGAAACCCAGUGCAAUACGUUGCACUAUCGUUUAGAUGAAUACAUAGUCUAACGAGGCGAACCGGGGGAACUGAAACAUCUAAGUACCCCGAGGAAAAGAAAUCAACCGAGAUUCCCCCAGUAGCGGCGAGCGAACGGGGAGGAGCCCAGAGUCUGAAUCAGUUUGUGUGUUAGUGGAAGCGUCUGGAAAGUCGCACGGUACAGGGUGAUAGUCCCGUACACCAAAAUGCACAGGCUGUGAACUCGAUGAGUAGGGCGGGACACGUGACAUCCUGUCUGAAUAUGGGGGGACCAUCCUCCAAGGCUAAAUACUCCUGACUGACCGAUAGUGAACCAGUACCGUGAGGGAAAGGCGAAAAGAACCCCGGCGAGGGGAGUGAAAUAGAACCUGAAACCGUGUACGUACAAGCAGUGGGAGCACCUUCGUGGUGUGACUGCGUACCUUUUGUAUAAUGGGUCAGCGACUUAUAUUUUGUAGCAAGGUUAACCGAAUAGGGGAGCCGUAGGGAAACCGAGUCUUAACUGGGCGUCUAGUUGCAAGGUAUAGACCCGAAACCCGGUGAUCUAGCCAUGGGCAGGUUGAAGGUUGGGUAACACUAACUGGAGGACCGAACCGACUAAUGUUGAAAAAUUAGCGGAUGACUUGUGGCUGGGGGUGAAAGGCCAAUCAAACCGGGAGAUAGCUGGUUCUCCCCGAAAGCUAUUUAGGUAGCGCCUCGUGAACUCAUCUUCGGGGGUAGAGCACUGUUUCGGCUAGGGGGCCAUCCCGGCUUACCAAACCGAUGCAAACUCCGAAUACCGAAGAAUGUUAUCACGGGAGACACACGGCGGGUGCUAACGUCCGUCGUGAAGAGGGAAACAACCCAGACCGCCAGCUAAGGUCCCAAAGUCAUGGUUAAGUGGGAAACGAUGUGGGAAGGCACAGACAGCCAGGAUGUUGGCUUAGAAGCAGCCAUCAUUUAAAGAAAGCGUAAUAGCUCACUGGUCGAGUCGGCCUGCGCGGAAGAUAUAACGGGGCUAAACCAUGCACCGAAGCUGCGGCAGCGACGUUUAGGCGUUGUUGGGUAGGGGAGCGUUCUGUAAGCCGUUGAAGGUGACCUGUGAGGGUUGCUGGAGGUAUCAGAAGUGCGAAUGCUGACAUAAGUAACGAUAAUGCGGGUGAAAAACCCGCACGCCGGAAGACCAAGGGUUCCUGUCCAACGUUAAUCGGGGCAGGGUGAGUCGACCCCUAAGGCGAGGCUGAAAAGCGUAGUCGAUGGGAAACAGGUUAAUAUUCCUGUACUUGGUGUUACUGCGAAGGGGGGACGGAGAAGGCUAGGCUGGCCGGGCGACGGUUGUCCCGGUUUAAGCGUGUAGGGGGAGUGACCAGGUAAAUCCGGUUGCUUAUCAACCCUGAGGCGUGAUGACGAUGCACCACGGUGCAGAAGCAGUUGAUGCCAUGCUUCCAGGAAAAGCCUCUAAGCAUCAGGUAACAUUAAAUCGUACCCCAAACCGACACAGGUGGUCAGGUAGAGAAUACUCAGGCGCUUGAGAGAACUCGGGUGAAGGAACUAGGCAAAAUGGUGCCGUAACUUCGGGAGAAGGCACGCUGGCGUUAGGUGAAAGGACUAGCUCCUGGAGCUGAAGCCAGUCGCAGAUACCAGCUGGCUGCAACUGUUUAAUAAAAACACAGCACUGUGCAAACACGAAAGUGGACGUAUACGGUGUGACGCCUGCCCGGUGCUGGAAGGUUAAUUGAUGGGGUCAGCCGCAAGGCGAAGCUCUUGAUCGAAGCCCCAGUAAACGGCGGCCGUAACUAUAACGGUCCUAAGGUAGCGAAAUUCCUUGUCGGGUAAGUUCCGACCUGCACGAAUGGCGUAAUGAUGGCCAGGCUGUCUCCACCCGAGACUCAGUGAAAUUGAACUCGCUGUGAAGAUGCAGUGUACCCGCGGCAAGACGGAAAGACCCCGUGAACCUUUACUAUAGCUUGACACUGAACAUUGAGCCUUGAUGUGUAGGAUAGGUGGGAGGCCUUGAAGUGUGGACGCCAGUCUGCAUGGAGCCAACCUUGAAAUACCACCCUUUAAUGUUUGAUGUUCUAACUCGGCCCCAUGAUCUGGGGUGAGGACAGUGUCUGGUGGGUAGUUUGACUGGGGCGGUCUCCUCCCAAAGAGUAACGGAGGAGCACGAAGGUUAGCUAAUCACGGUCGGACAUCGUGAGGUUAGUGCAAAGGCAUAAGCUAGCUUGACUGCGAGAGUGACGGCUCGAGCAGGUACGAAAGUAGGUCUUAGUGAUCCGGUGGUUCUGAAUGGAAGGGCCAUCGCUCAACGGAUAAAAGGUACUCCGGGGAUAACAGGCUGAUACCGCCCAAGAGUUCAUAUCGACGGCGGUGUUUGGCACCUCGAUGUCGGCUCAUCACAUCCUGGGGCUGAAGUAGGUCCCAAGGGUAUGGCUGUUCGCCAUUUAAAGUGGUACGCGAGCUGGGUUUAGAACGUCGUGAGACAGUUCGGUCCCUAUCUGCCGUGGGCGUUGGAAGAUUGAGAGGGGCUGCUCCUAGUACGAGAGGACCGGAGUGGACGAAUCACUGGUGUUCGGGUUGUCAUGCCAAUGGCAUUGCCCGGUAGCUAAAUUCGGAAGAGAUAACCGCUGAAAGCAUCUAAGCGGGAAACUUGCCUCGAGAUGAGUCUUCCCUGGGGCUUAAAGCCCCCUGAAGGAACGUUAAAGACUAUGACGUUGAUAGGCUGGGUGUGUAAGUGCAGCGAUGUAUUGAGCUAACCAGUACUAAUGAUCCGUGAGGCUUAACCUU